RNAcentral lists this transfer-messenger RNA (362 nucleotides) under Neptunicella marina. RNAcentral's name for it is "Standard tmRNA". It matches the Rfam family "transfer-messenger RNA". From Rfam's summary of the family: Bacterial tmRNA, also known as 10Sa RNA or SsrA, is named for its dual tRNA and mRNA-like properties. Its role is to liberate the mRNA from a stalled ribosome. The record is from Rfam by way of RNAcentral. Lineage: Bacteria; Pseudomonadati; Pseudomonadota; Gammaproteobacteria; Alteromonadales; Alteromonadaceae.
GGGGCUGAUUAGGAUUCGACGGAGUACGCGAAACCCAAGGUGCAUGCCGAGGACGCGGUUGGCCUCGUAAAAAAGCCGCAUUUAAAGUAAUCGCAAACGACGAUAACUUCGCUCUAGCCGCUUAAUAACCGGUUAGGAGCCCUUCCACUCAUGUCUUGCCUGCUGGCAGAGGUUCGGAAGGUCAUACUCGCAGGAUCGUGUGGCGGCUUCGCUCGUAGCCAAAGCACUAAAUUUAAUCGAGCUCGCUACCUGAAAUCCUGUCUGUCGGAGUUCAACGUAGUUAAUUAAAAGACCAGACUAUGCAUGUAGGACCGAGGAUGUAGGUAUUACGGACGCGGGUUCAAAUCCCGCCAGCUCCACCA